CCUACGGGUGGCUGCAGUAAGGAAUAUUGGACAAUGGCGGCAACACUGAUCCAGCCAUGCCGCGUGCAGGAUGACGGCCCUAUGGGUUGUAAACUGCUUUUGUACGGGAAAAAACCCUCGUUCGUGAACGAGGCUGAUGGUACCGUAAGAAUAAGGAUCGGCUAACUCCGUGCCAGCAGCCGCGGUAAUACGGAGGAUCCAAGCGUUAUCCGGAUUUAUUGGGUUUAAAGGGUGCGUAGGCGGAUUAAUAAGUCAGUGGUGAAAGCCUGCAGCUUAACUGUAGAAUUGCCAUUGAUACUGUUAGUCUUGAGUAUAUUUGAAGUGGGCGGAAUGUGCAGUGUAGCGGUGAAAUGCUUAGAUAUUGCACAGAACACCGAUUGCGAAGGCAGCUCACUAAACUAUAACUGACGCUGAGGCACGAAAGUGUGGGGAUCAAACAGGAUUAGAUACCCCAGUAGUC
Molecule: ribosomal RNA, 460 nt
Filed under: uncultured Bacteroidota bacterium
Lineage: Bacteria; Pseudomonadati; Bacteroidota
Description: bacterial SSU rRNA
Rfam family: Bacterial small subunit ribosomal RNA
Source: RNAcentral